CAACCUCCAGCCAGCUUCCUCUGCAUGAAGGUCACCACCCUAAGCCGACCGUUACUUCCGCACAGCCUAUACAGCUUCUGUAGGCACCGUUCUUCCCUGCACAAUAAAGCUUGCCUCACAGCAAACUAUGAAACAUGUAUAUCCUCUGCCUAUGUCCUUGUCCAUCUUUCCUCCCAACAUAAGGUAGGACCCAGCACACCUUACCCUGUGCAUACAGCACUCACGAUUUGUUAAUACCUGCUCUCCUCCCUGUACAACCCCUCUCACGCAGAACCACACUGGUAUAUAUAUCUUUGCUUUAUUUAGGGCUGUUGCACUGGAAACUUUAGCUCCAGUAACACUAGAGAUGCAGAGUGACACUGUGGCCGGUCAAAACUAAUUUUGGUUGAAGUGGCUAAGGUGGUCUAAACUGAAAAAGUUAUUGCUUGGUCCUGCAAAUUCUAUGUGAGGAAUUACAUGAAAAAAAGAACGAUGAAGGCGGUAGAGAUGACAGUAUCUUGCUUUUCACUGCAGAGGAAAUAUAGGCAUUGGAUAUUCAGUCAAAUACACAUUCUAUUGCCAUUUGGCUAUCUUGGUCCUUUCCCUGUGAAUUUAAUCAUUGGAAGAUACAGUUGUGGUGUAUGUGUCCAUUACUGGGUGAAUCAAAAUAUACAGAGAAUCAUUGUUAAAAGGUCUAGAGUACAGACGUUGCUUUAAAGCCAGAGCACCUGCUGAUUGUGAUGUCAGUGCACUAUGGGGUUCGCUGAGACACUGAGGGAAAGAGUUAGUGCUUUGACAGCCAGGACUUGUGUUUGCCUUGGCAUCCAAGUACAGGAACUGGGGUCAAAAAGCCAAGCAGCAUUUUCGUUAGUUCCAUUUGACAUCAUGGAACGUUUAUCACAUUUAUUGUCAGGACUUUACAACUUAGCAUCGGAAGACUGAACUUUAACGACGUUGUCUACUUCUGGCUGUGUCAGGACUUGGCUUUUGGUUAACUAUUAGGAAGCCAAGUAUUUGAAAGCUCUUAUUUGUGUGACCAGUUUGCCGUUAAUAGGUAUUAAAAGCAGGCUGGCAGGGCAGGAAGAGGAACCGUUAUUCUCUGCAAAGUAAAGCAUAAAGUGCCCUCAAAGUGGCCCUAAACCUCUGUGCGAAAAUCUUGAAGAGCUUUCAUGGGUAGAGGCAGUAAAGAGGGAAUGACAGCUGACUAGAAUGACAUGACCAAGACAACGAGGCAAAAAACUCAGCACGUUGUCUUGCUUCCUUUCAGAUGCUACUGUAUUACAUCCAGUCCUUGGCCUAGUGUACUGUCCAGUGUGCUUUCUGUUUAGAAAAUUGCCAUGUAUUUAUACAAUGAUUUCUCUUUAGAAAAUUGCAUGUUCUUCACUUGAUACAAAUGCACAGCUUGAAUCAUAUUACUAACACUGGUCUUUGGUUUAAAACAGGCUUGCUUGAGAUUUCAAGAGAGGGCAUGAUGUCGCCUUCCACUUUAACCCGUGCUUCAGUGAGAACAACAGGAGAGUCGUUGUUCGCAAUACAAAGCUGGAUAAUGUCUGGGGAAAGGAAGAAAGACAGGCGGUUUUCCCAUUUGAAAGUGGUAAACCAUUCAAAAUACAAGUGCUGGUUGAAGCUGACCACUUCAAGGUUGUGGUCAGUGAUGCUCACUUAUUGCAGUACAAUCAUCAGAAGAGAAAUCUCAGAGAAAUCAGCAAACUGUGAAUUUCUGGUGACAUAAAUCUCACCAGUGCUUCACACACUAUGAUAUAAUCUUAAAGGGGCAGAUGCUUUUUAAAAAAA
This is a long non-coding RNA of Equus caballus (horse), 1773 nucleotides long. RefSeq lists it as uncharacterized. The record is from RefSeq and is a predicted model, not a curated record. Lineage: Eukaryota; Metazoa; Chordata; Mammalia; Perissodactyla; Equidae.